CAAAGAACUCCAUAAUGACUCAGCUAUUCUCAAUCAGGCUGUGUUAAAACCACUCAGGUUGAGCAUGGGGAAGCUCAGCCGGUACAAGUGGUAGUCAGUGUUCCCCUGACAGUAUAAUUUUUAUGGUGUUUGUUUUAUCAAACAUAAAUGUGCAACUUGACUGCCACAAACUUCCAGAAAGAAAAAAAACACAAAGAUAUCAUCGCAGAACAUAAAAUAAGGUCUAUAUUCAGCUUCUCUGGAGAAGAGCAGAAAAAUCUACUGCUGUGAAGCAUGUCUUCUUAUGAAAAGAGUUCAGGUAAGUAACAUAUUCAUCACUCGGCUUUAGUGUCCAAAAAAGCAAUGAUCAUUUCUUUCUUAUCCCACCACUGGCCUGGAAUUUAUUAUGUACUAAAUACAUCUUUAUGGAAUAAAGAAGGAUAUUUUAUAGUUAAAAUAUUUAGGAAACAGUGGUUCCUAAAUUGGCAUACUUCUUUGAGUGUUUAAUAUGCUCAACCUCUAUUAAAG
This 507-nucleotide long non-coding RNA is filed under the name Homo sapiens (human). RNAcentral describes it as "HSALNT0163755". The record is from RNAcentral. Lineage: Eukaryota; Metazoa; Chordata; Mammalia; Primates; Hominidae.